Molecule: long non-coding RNA, 1587 nt
Organism: Ailuropoda melanoleuca (giant panda)
Lineage: Eukaryota; Metazoa; Chordata; Mammalia; Carnivora; Ursidae
Source: Ensembl
AUGUGUGCACGUGUGUAUAAUGUGUGUGUGGAUGUGUACGUGCCCUGCGCAUUUGUGUAUGUAUACUGUGCGUGUGCAUGUAUGUAUACUGUGUGUGCGUGUGUAUAUUAUGUAUGUGUAUAUUGUGUGUGCAUGUGUGAAUACUGUGUGUGCAUGUGUGUAUACUGUGUGUGCGUGUGUGUAAACUGUGUUUGUGUGUAUGCAUGCGUGUAUGCUGUGUAUAUACUGUGUGCGUGUGUAUACUGUGUGUGUGCAUGUGUGUAUACUGUGUGCACAUGUGUAUACUAUAUGUGCAUCUGUGUAUACUGUGUGCACGUGUGUAUACAGUGUUUGUGUGCACGUGCGUAUACUGUGUGCGCAUGUGUGUAUACUGUGUGUGCAUGUGUAUAUUAUAUGUGCACAUGUGUGUAUACUGUGUAUGCACGUGUAUACUGUGUGUCUGCACGUGUGUAUACUGUGUGCACAUGUAUAUACUAUAUGUGCAUCUGCGUAUACUGUGUGUGCACGUGCGUAUACUGUGUGUGCACUUGUGUAUACUGUGUGCAUAUGUGUAUAUGUGCACGUGUGUGUAUACUGUGUGCACGUGUAUACUGUGUGUCUGCACGUGUGUAUACUGUGUGCACAUGUGUAUACUAUAUGUGCAUGUGCGUAUACUGUGUGCGCAUGUGCGUAUACUGUGUGUGCACGUGUGUAUACUGUGUGUGCACGUGUGUAUAUGUGCACAUGUGUGUAUACUGUGUGUGCACGUGUAUACUGUGUGCACAUGUGUAUACUAUAUGUGCAUCUGCGUAUACUGUGUGUGCAUCUGCAUAUACUGUGUGUGCAUGUGCGUAUACUGUGUAUGCUGUGUGCACGUGUGUAUACGGUGUGUGUACAUGUGUAUAUGUGCACAUGUGUGUAUACUGUGUGUGCACGUGUGUAUACUGUGUGCACAUGUGUAUACUAUAUGUGCAUCUGCGUAUACUGUGUGCAUGUGCGUAUACUGUGUGUGCACGUGUGUAUACGGUGUGUGCACAUGUGUAUAUGUGCACAUGUGUGUAUACUGUGUGUGCACGUGUGUAUACUGUGUGCACAUGUGUAUACUAUAUGUGCAUCUGCGUAUACUGUGUGUGCAUGUGCGUAUACUGUGUGUGCAUGUGUGUAUACUGUGUGUGCAUGUGCAUAUACUGUGUGUGCAUGUGUGUAUACUGUGUGUGCACGUGUGUAUACUGUGUGUGCACGUGCAUACUGUGUGUGUGCACGUAUACAUACUGUGUGUGCAUGUGUGUAUAUACUGUGCGUGUGUGUGCACGUGUAUACUGUGUGUGUGUGCCUCAGUGUGUGCCUGCAGUUACACUUGUGUUCGUGUGUAUAUGUUCUGUGCAUGUGUGCACGCAUGUACACACAACUGUCUUUUCAGCACUAUACCCUGUCAAGGAAGACCAGAGCCGGUCCAUAAGUAAAACAGUAGAAACAGACUUUGUUCAGGGUUAUUGCAAUAGGGGGAAGAGAUCCCAGCAGAGAACCAGCUCAUCUCAACAUAUGGGGAACAAGUUGGGAUUUGUGGCCAAAGAGUCGGGGUGGGGGUCAGUGAUGGAAAAUCACUAA